AUUAUCUGCUUUCAGGAUAGCUGUGCAGCAUACUUGGUACUCUGUGAAAGAUGCACUGGACGUUUGUUCUUUUAGGUGCCUAGAAUUAAUUUCUGAGGAAGUUCUUGCUUCCCAAUUUCUUUGAAGAAAUCAUUACCUUCUGCUAAGGAGAGUCAGCUAAUCUGGCAACCUAGCAUGCCUAGGUCAGAUGUGGUAGUUAGGGGAAAGCACCAGCAGAAUAUCCUGUACAUAUACAAAUUCCCAAUGGUGAAAGUGAUCAUAACGUAUACCUAAAAUGUACCGAUAAAUUUAUGGGGCAAAAUAAAAAGAUGAGGAGACUAAAAAUACACGAGGUAGGAGUUUCUUUUUCUCUCUCAUAGUAGUAGCCAUUUCAGACUGGCAAAUCAGCUUUGCUACAGACAUUCAUUCCAGGCCCCCAUUCCUCAGGAUUGUUGCUCCGCUAAUGUCAUCAUCUGCUACAUCCAUGCUGGUCACAACUAACAUUUCCCACAUCAGGAGAGUGGACACAAGUUAGCCUGAGGUAAACCAAUUAGAUCUUCCCCCUCUGCACCAUAGAAAGCAAUAACACAACCAAAAGGGUUCAUUUAUUUCAGUAUCUGAGAAUGUUAAUCAUUCUAUCAGCUGCUACCACCAAGACUCUUUGGAGCUGCUCCAAGUGUGGUCCGUUAGCAUUCUCUUGAUUCUGGGUGCACCACUGCCGUUCCCUCCUGCCAUUCUAUACAAGCUGAUUCAUCUCUACAUUUACCAACACUCCUUCCUGUACUAUCACUUCUCAAUGUGCCAGACUAGCUGCUCCUACAGAGGGGCAAAGUGCCCCAGGGAAGAUGGAGGUUAAGAUCACCACUCCUUCCUUCAAUUAGAGCCUUUCUGAUGGAUCGAGAUGGUGUCUGGGAGGAGAUCUGAGGCCAACCAACAAACC
This 919-nucleotide long non-coding RNA is filed under the name Fukomys damarensis (Damara mole-rat). Its description in RNAcentral is "lncRNA (ENSFDAG00000025543.1)". The record is from RNAcentral. Lineage: Eukaryota; Metazoa; Chordata; Mammalia; Rodentia; Bathyergidae.